RNAcentral lists this long non-coding RNA (507 nucleotides) under Mustela putorius furo (domestic ferret). RNAcentral's name for it is "lncRNA (ENSMPUG00000028899.1)". Lineage: Eukaryota; Metazoa; Chordata; Mammalia; Carnivora; Mustelidae. The record is from RNAcentral.
AUGCCCCUCUUAAGAAGCGGGCGGCAUCUCCCGCCGGAGUUUCUCUCGUUUGCUUCGACGGCCGCGGUCUCCCCGCCCCCACUCGGUUCACGCGCAUGCACUCCGGGUCCCGAACAGCCUCCCGCGUGCCCGCCGCUCGGUCCGAAACAAGCCUGUGAAGUUCUGCUUCCCGGGGAUCCCAGAAAUGAACUGGAGCUGAAGGCGGAUGUUGGAGGGAAGGGAGCGGUUCUUUUUUCCUUUCUUCAGUUCUCUUUUUCCAAAGCCACGGGGAGACACGAGACCUCAAGAGAUCAAACCAGUUCUCAUUGACAAAACAGACAGACGUGCUCCAAAGCAGAACCAGCAAGACAUCUGCAUCGCAGAAGACCUGAGAACACAUUCCUCUGAAAUGUAAGUGGUUCUAACUUGAGUAUUCUGUGACCAGCACUUUUUGACCAAAUAAGAGAGAACAAGACAGAGAGAGACAGACAAACAGAUGGACAAGAGGAGGGAGACAGAGAAAAGAAA